UACAGGGGUCCCAAGCGUUGUUCGGAUUUACUGGGCGUAAAGGGUGCGUAGGUGGCGGGGUAAGUCUGGUGUGAAAGCUCCGAGCUCAACUCGGAAAAGCAUUGGAAACUAUCCCGCUAGAGGGUCGGAGGGGAGACUGGAAUUCUCGGUGUAGCAGUGAAAUGCGUAGAUAUCGAGAGGAACACCAGUGGCGAAGGCGAGUCUCUGGACGACUCCUGACACUGAGGCACGAAAGCUAGGGGAGCAAACAGG
Molecule: ribosomal RNA, 252 nt
Filed under: uncultured bacterium
Lineage: Bacteria
Description: partial 16S ribosomal RNA
Rfam family: Bacterial small subunit ribosomal RNA
Source: RNAcentral